Molecule: ribosomal RNA, 176 nt
Filed under: Myxobolus cerebralis
Lineage: Eukaryota; Metazoa; Cnidaria; Myxozoa; Bivalvulida; Myxobolidae
Description: 5.8S ribosomal RNA
Rfam family: 5.8S ribosomal RNA (bases 4-155)
About the family: 5.8S ribosomal RNA (5.8S rRNA) is a component of the large subunit of the eukaryotic ribosome. It is transcribed by RNA polymerase I as part of the 45S precursor that also contains 18S and 28S rRNA. Functionally, it is thought that 5.8S rRNA may be involved in ribosome translocation.
Source: RNAcentral
CAUAACCAUUAACGGUGGAUCACUUGGCUCGAGGGACGAUGAAGAACGUGGCAAAAUGCGAUAAGUGAUGCGAUUCGCAAGCCUAGUGAGUCAUCAAGUUUUUGAACGCAAAUGGCACUCUUGAUUGCAUCAGGAGUAUGUCUGGUUGAGGGUUGUUUUUUGAGAUAACGUCACAC